RNAcentral lists this ribosomal RNA (365 nucleotides) under uncultured eukaryote. RNAcentral describes it as "partial 18S ribosomal RNA". It matches the Rfam family "Eukaryotic small subunit ribosomal RNA", at positions 592 to 976 of the family's 1831-position model. The record is from RNAcentral.
CAAUAGCGUAUAUUUAAGUUGUUGCAGUUAAAAAGCUCGUAGUCGGAUUUUGGCUGAGAACGAUCGGUCCGCCGUUAGGUGUGCACUGAUUGGUCUCAGCUUCCUGGUGAGGAGGUGUGCUUCACGGCCACUUAGUCACCGUUGUUACUUUGAAAAAAUUAGAGUGUUCAAAGCGGGCUUACGCUUGAAUAUAUUAGCAUGGAAUAACACCAUAGGACUCCUGUCCUAUUUCGUUGGUCUCGGGACGGGAGUAAUGAUUAAGAGGAACAGUUGGGGGCAUUCGUAUUUCAUUGUCAGAGGUGAAAUUCUUGGAUUUAUGAAAGACGAACUUCUGCGAAAGCAUUUGCCAAGGAUGUUUUCAUUGA